AUCAUCGCAAAACCCCGUCGGCCCGUUUGGUAGGCGAGGAUACAUGGGCCAAACCUCCUCGAUUCCCCUUCCAUUCACUUCCUCCCACGCGGUUCAGAACCCUCGAGGCCCCCCUCGAGGAUUUCGCCGCCCGACUCGUAAGACGCCGCCGCCCGAGACGCCGCCGCCGACUCCUCCACAAGACGCCGCCGCUGCCCGACGCCUCGACGCUGGCGAUCUCGUCCGGCAUACUGGACUUCUCCCCUGCGGGACCUAAUCUCGCGGAAGACGGGCGACCAUGCUUUGCUGCCACAAGUCUCCUCCACUUUGUGCAGCCCGCAAACAUGUCUUGGAGCAUUCGCCGAUCAAACGUGUGUUUAUGUUGUGAUGAGCCGUUAACUUUUGUUGACCGAAUAUCUUGUAUUUUUCAUUUGGACCGUGGUAUGUGGCAUGUGUAUGUUUUUCAUUUGGACCGUGGAAUGUAUGCAUGUACCAUUUUCAUUAGAACCAUUGAUAAUAGUACUUGUAAGUUGUAACAGAGCAUGUUUGUUGUUUUGUGUAAUCUAGGUGCACUUUUCCUCCGUGAGCUUUUGAAGUUGUAAAAAUUGCAUUUUUAAUUAUAAUAUAGUGGUUUUGCAAA
This is a long non-coding RNA of Triticum aestivum (bread wheat), 619 nucleotides long. RefSeq lists it as uncharacterized. The record is from RefSeq and is a predicted model, not a curated record. Lineage: Eukaryota; Viridiplantae; Streptophyta; Magnoliopsida; Poales; Poaceae. The transcript has 2 exons.